This is a non-coding RNA of Triticum aestivum (bread wheat), 56 nucleotides long. Lineage: Eukaryota; Viridiplantae; Streptophyta; Magnoliopsida; Poales; Poaceae. The record is from Rfam.
GCUCAGUUGGUAGAGAAUAAGGCUCUUAACCUUAUGGACAUGGGUUCGAGCCCCAU